This 391-nucleotide long non-coding RNA is filed under the name Mytilus galloprovincialis (Mediterranean mussel). The record is from RNAcentral. Lineage: Eukaryota; Metazoa; Mollusca; Bivalvia; Mytilida; Mytilidae.
UAUAACUUUAGUUUAAGUUAAUAGAAAUCUAUGAAAUUUUGACACAAGGUUUAUGACCACAAAAGAACGGUUGGGAUUGAUUUUGGGAGUUUAGGUUUCAACAGUUUAGGAAUUAGGGGCCAAAAAAGGGCCCAAAUAAGCAUUAUUCUUGGUUUUCGCACAAUAACUUUAGUUUAAGUAAAUAAAAAUCAAUGAAAUUUAAACACAAUGUUAAUGACUACAAAAGGAAGGUUGGUAUUGAUUUUGGGAGUUUAGGUCCCAACAGUUUAGGAAUUAGGGGCCAAAAAGGGACCCAAAUAAGCAUUUUUCUUGGUUUUCGCACCAUAACGUUAGUAUAAGUAAAUAGAAAUCUAUGAAAUUUAAACACAAGGUUUAUGACCAUAAAAGGAGG